AUAUCCAAUAAGCGGAGGAAAAGAAACCAACAGGGAUUGCCCUAGUAACGGCGAGUGAACAGGCAAGAGCUCAGAUUUGAAAGGCACUUUUGUGCCGUUGUAUUCUGAAGUUAGGGUCCUGAGAAACGAUGCUUAAGUCUUCUGGAAAGGAGCGCCAUGGAGGGUGAUAGCCCCGUCUAGCAUUGACCUCAUAUAGGAUCUUAACAUGGAGUCGAGUUGUUUGGGAAUGCAGCUCAAAUGGGUGGUAUGCUCCAUCUAAAGCUAAAUAUCUGCGAGAGACCGAUAGUAAACAAGUACUGUGAGGGAAAGAUGAAAAGAACUUUGAAAAGAGAGUGAAAAAGUACGUGAAAUUGUUGAAAUGGAAGGGUAGGCCGCUAACCAUGUAGAGCCGUGUUUGGGGGGAAGAUAAAUGCUGUAGAAUGUAGCUCCUCGGAGUAUUAUAGAUGCAGUUCAUAUUCCCACCCGAGCGCGAGGAUCUCAGGUUCUACUAAAUGGUGGUCUACCACCCGUCUUG
RNAcentral lists this ribosomal RNA (514 nucleotides) under Starmerella bacillaris. RNAcentral describes it as "partial large subunit ribosomal RNA". It matches the Rfam family "Eukaryotic large subunit ribosomal RNA", at positions 40 to 656 of the family's 3401-position model. The record is from RNAcentral. Lineage: Eukaryota; Fungi; Ascomycota; Dipodascomycetes; Dipodascales; Trichomonascaceae.